GGGGUGGACCCGAGUGUCAGCUUCCUCAGGGGCCGUUUCGGGGCCCAGAGCUCCCCGAGAAACAGAACCCCUCGCUCACCCUGCACUUGGCACGCGGUCUCCGAUGCCACACGGUGCGGCUCUAGUCCACUCACUCUGCCAAGGGUUUUUUUUUUUAUCCGCAACAGCCCCUCAUGAGCUGUCCUGAAUCACUCUUAUCUCAGCCUCCGCCAGGCCUCUGUCUGAAAAACACCCUUUUGUGCUCAUGGGUAGGAACAGCGUUCGCCUCAACGGGGGACUCCGCCCUCUUACUGGAACCUACUCCAUUUCAGUCUCCCUUGCAUUUCGCUGUGGGCACAAAACGGAAUUCUAGUCCACGGAAUGAGAUGUUACCUGCAUCACUUUCAAGCCCGGCCCAUAACAGCCUCCCACACAGCAGCUCCUUGGCUCAUCCAGCCGGCUGAGAUUGAGAGGAACUCAAGUGUUGAAGACGACAGAGCCUCCAUCAGCCUGGACCCCUGAGUGACGACUGCACAGAAGAAGCCCGCCCUGUGAACUGUGCCCCAAUUUGAUGCUAUUAUGAGAACAUGAAAUAAAUUUAAGUUAUGGUGAGACAUU
Molecule: long non-coding RNA, 597 nt
Organism: Neofelis nebulosa (Clouded leopard)
Lineage: Eukaryota; Metazoa; Chordata; Mammalia; Carnivora; Felidae
Exons: 2
Source: RefSeq, a predicted model, not a curated record